GAUGAACGCUGGCGGCGUGCCUAAUACGUGCAAGUCGAGCGAACGGACGAGAAGCUUGCUUCUCUGAUGUUAGCGGCGGACGGGUGAGUAACACGUGGAUAACCUACCUAUAAGACUGGGAUAACUUCGGGAAACCGGAGCUAAUACCGGAUAAUAUUUUGAACCGCAUGGUUCAAAAGUGAAAGACGGUCUUGCUGUCACUUAUAGAUGGAUCCGCGCUGCAUUAGCUAGUUGGUAAGGUAACGGCUUACCAAGGCAACGAUGCAUAGCCGACCUGAGAGGGUGAUCGGCCACACUGGAACUGAGACACGGUCCAGACUCCUACGGGAGGCAGCAGUAGGGAAUCUGCCGCAAUGGGCGAAAGCCUGACGGAGCAACGCCGCGUGAGUGAUGAAGGUCUUCGGAUCGUAAAACUCUGUUAUUAGGGAAGAACAUAUGUGUAAGUAACUGUGCACAUAUUGACGGUACCUAAUCAGAAAGCCACGGCUAACUACGUG
RNAcentral lists this ribosomal RNA (497 nucleotides) under uncultured bacterium. Its description in RNAcentral is "partial 16S ribosomal RNA". It matches the Rfam family "Bacterial small subunit ribosomal RNA", at positions 28 to 507 of the family's 1533-position model. The record is from RNAcentral.